UACGUAGGGAGCAAGCGUUGUCCGGAAUCAUUGGGCGUAAAGCGCGCGUAGGUGGCCUCGUAAGUCCGCUGUGAAAGUCAAAGGCUCAACCUUUGAAAGCCGGUGGAUACUGUGGGGCUAGAGUACGGAAGAGGCGAGUGGAAUUCCUGGUGUAGCGGUGAAAUGCGCAGAUAUCAGGAAGAACACCUAUGGCGAAGGCAGCUCUCUGGGACGGUACUGACGCUGAGACGCGAAAGCGUGGGGAGCGAACAGG
This 253-nucleotide ribosomal RNA is filed under the name uncultured bacterium. Its description in RNAcentral is "partial 16S ribosomal RNA". It matches the Rfam family "Bacterial small subunit ribosomal RNA", at positions 524 to 776 of the family's 1533-position model. The record is from RNAcentral.